This 422-nucleotide ribosomal RNA is filed under the name uncultured bacterium. RNAcentral describes it as "bacterial SSU rRNA". It matches the Rfam family "Bacterial small subunit ribosomal RNA", at positions 355 to 774 of the family's 1533-position model. The record is from RNAcentral.
UAAGGAAUAUUGGUCAAUGGAGGCAACUCUGAACCAGCCAUGCCGCGUGAAGGAUUAAGGCCCUCUGGGUUGUAAACUUCUUUUAUAUGGGAAGAAAUGUACUUUUUCUAAAGUGCUUGACGGUACCAUAGGAAUAAGCACCGGCUAACUCCGUGCCAGCAGCCGCGGUAAUACGGAGGGUGCAAGCGUUAUCCGGCUUUACUGGGUUUAAAGGGUGCGUAGGCGGAUGAAUAAGUCAGUGGUGAAAUCUCCGAGCUUAACUCGGAAACUGCCGUUGAUACUAUUUGUCUUGAAUAUUGUGGAGGUAAGCGGAAUAUGUCAUGUAGCGGUGAAAUGCUUAGAUGGGACAUAGAACACCAAUUGCGAAGGCAGCUUGCUACACAAUCAUUGACGCUGAGGCACGAAAGCGUGGGGAUCAAACA